Molecule: ribosomal RNA, 463 nt
Filed under: uncultured bacterium
Lineage: Bacteria
Description: partial 16S ribosomal RNA
Rfam family: Bacterial small subunit ribosomal RNA
Source: RNAcentral
GAUGAACGCUGACAGAAUGCUUUACACAUGCAAGUCGAUGGGGAAGUGGUGCUUGCACCAUGGCAACCAUGGCGGACGGGUGAGUAACGCGUAAGGGACUUACCUGCAGGACUGGGAUAACAGGGGGAAACUCCUGACAAGACCGGAUAAUGUCAUGGAGCUGCAUGGCUUUAUGAUGAAAGGAGACGCCUGCGGAGAGCCUUGCGUCCUAUUAGCUAGUUGGUGAGGUAAUGGCUCACCAAGGCGAAGAUAGGUAGCCGGCCUGAGAGGGUGGACGGCCACAAGGGGACUGAGAUACGGCCCUUACUCCUACGGGAGGCAGCAGUGGGGAAUAUUGGACAAUGGGGGCAACCCUGAUCCAGCAAUUCUGUGUGCACGAAGAAGGUUUUCGGAUUGUAAAGUGCUUUCAGCAGGGAAGAAGUAAGUGACGGUACCUGCAGAAGAAGCGACGGCUAAAUACGUG